GGUGACACAGUGACAGAGUGAGGGAGGGGGUGACACAGUGACAGAGUGAGGGAGGGGGUGACACAGUGACAGAGUGAGGGAGGGGGUGACUAGUGACAGAGAGAGGGAUGGGGUGACUAGUGACAGUCACCCCCUCCCUCCCUCUGUCACUAGUCACUCCCUCCCUCUGUCACUAGUCACUCCCUCCCUCUGUCACUAGUCAUUCCCUCCCUCUGUCACUAGUCAUUCCCUCCCUCUGUCACUAGUCAUUCCCUCCCUCUGUCACCAGUUAUCCCCUCCCUCU
Molecule: non-coding RNA, 283 nt
Organism: Pelobates cultripes (western spadefoot toad)
Lineage: Eukaryota; Metazoa; Chordata; Amphibia; Anura; Pelobatidae
Source: the annotation of a GenBank genome assembly